AGUGAACGCUGGCGGUAGGCCUAACACAUGCAAGUCGAACGGCAGCACAGUAAGAGCUUGCUCUUACGGGUGGCGAGUGGCGGACGGGUGAGGAAUACAUCGGAAUCUACUUUUUCGUGGGGGAUAACGUAGGGAAACUUACGCUAAUACCGCAUACGACCUACGGGCGAAAGCAGGGGAUCUUCGGACCUUGCGCGAUUGAAUGAGCCGAUGUCGGAUUAGCUAGUUGGCGGGGUAAAGGCCCACCAAGGCGACGAUCCGUAGCUGGUCUGAGAGGAUGAUCAGCCACACUGGAACUGAGACACGGUCCAGACUCCUACGGGAGGCAGCAGUGGGGAAUAUUGGACAAUGGGCGCAAGCCUGAUCCAGCCAUACCGCGUGGGUGAAGAAGGCCUUCGGGUUGCAAAGCCCUUUUGUUGGGAAAGAAAAGCAGCAGGUUAAUACCCCGCUGUUCUGACGGUACCCAAAGAAUAAGCACCGGCUAACUUCGUG
RNAcentral lists this ribosomal RNA (492 nucleotides) under uncultured bacterium. RNAcentral describes it as "partial 16S ribosomal RNA". It matches the Rfam family "Bacterial small subunit ribosomal RNA", at positions 29 to 507 of the family's 1533-position model. The record is from RNAcentral.